This 496-nucleotide ribosomal RNA is filed under the name uncultured bacterium. Its description in RNAcentral is "partial 16S ribosomal RNA". It matches the Rfam family "Bacterial small subunit ribosomal RNA", at positions 28 to 506 of the family's 1533-position model. The record is from RNAcentral.
GAUGAACGCUGGCGGCGUGCCUAAUACAUGCAAGUCGAGCGAACAGACGAGGAGCUUGCUCCUUUGACGUUAGCGGCGGACGGGUGAGUAACACGUAGGUAACCUACCUAUAAGACUGGGAUAACUUCGGGAAACCGGAGCUAAUACCGGAUAAUAUUUCGAACCGCAUGGUUCGAUAGUGAAAGAUGGCUUUGCUAUCACUUAUAGAUGGACCUGCGCCGUAUUAGCUAGUUGGUAAGGUAAUGGCUUACCAAGGCAACGAUACGUAACCGACCUGAGAGGGGGAUCGGGCACACUUGAACUGAGACACGGGCCAAACUCCUACGGGAGGCAGCAGUAGGGAAUCUUCCGGAAUGGGGGAAAGCCUGAACGAACAACGCCGGGGGGGGUAUGAAGGUCUUCGGAUCGGAAAACCCUUUUAUUAGGGAAAAAAAAAAGGGUAAGUAACUUUGCACGUUUUGACGGUACCUAAUCAGAAAGCCCCGGCUAACUACGU